AUGUCAACUUGUCUUAACCACACAGUACAGUAUAUAUCAAUAUAUGCAAGGUUAAAUGAGAGCAGCAACAGGUGUCACUUUGCUUACAAUGUUCCUGCAACCCUCGUGCUGAUAUGCGUCAUGUUGCCUGGGAAGAGCUUUGCUAGCCCGAAAUCCGAUAUUUUGGGGCUCAGGUCCUUGUCAAGCAGAAUGUUACUCGCCUUGAUGUCACGGUGGACGAUAUGCGGCCGGAUUUCUUCAUGCAGAUAUGUGAGACCGUCGGCGACACCAAUGCAGAUCUUCGCCCUUGUGCUCCAGUCAAACCGGAUACUACUGUGGGCAUUGCCUGAAGAACAUCAUGACAAACCAGGGGGUUCUGAGAAUGAAUUUACCAGCGAUUUAAAGUUCUGA
RNAcentral lists this ribosomal RNA (390 nucleotides) under Triticum aestivum (bread wheat). RNAcentral describes it as "partial small subunit ribosomal RNA". Lineage: Eukaryota; Viridiplantae; Streptophyta; Magnoliopsida; Poales; Poaceae. The record is from RNAcentral.